Molecule: ribosomal RNA, 24 nt
Filed under: Pleosporales sp. r090
Lineage: Eukaryota; Fungi; Ascomycota; Dothideomycetes; Pleosporales
Description: partial 28S ribosomal RNA
Source: RNAcentral
UUGACCUCGGAUCAGGUAGGGACC